UGGGGAUAUUGGACAAUGGGCGAAAGCCUGAUCCAGCCAUGCCGCGUGUGUGAAGAAGGUCUUCGGAUUGUAAAGCACUUUAAGUUGGGAGGAAGGGCAUUAACCUAAUACGUUAGUGUUUUGACGUUACCGACAGAAUAAGCACCGGCUAACUCUGUGCCAGCAGCCGCGGUAAUU
RNAcentral lists this ribosomal RNA (177 nucleotides) under uncultured Pseudomonas sp. RNAcentral's name for it is "partial 16S ribosomal RNA". It matches the Rfam family "Bacterial small subunit ribosomal RNA", at positions 356 to 525 of the family's 1533-position model. The record is from RNAcentral. Lineage: Bacteria; Pseudomonadati; Pseudomonadota; Gammaproteobacteria; Pseudomonadales; Pseudomonadaceae.